CCAACGGCUCUUUUAAGAGCCACCCACCUGAGACUACCGAGCAGCUU
Non-coding RNA from Tetraodon nigroviridis (spotted green pufferfish), 47 nucleotides. Lineage: Eukaryota; Metazoa; Chordata; Actinopteri; Tetraodontiformes; Tetraodontidae. The record is from Rfam.